CCUACGGGUGGCAGCAGUGAGGAAUAUUGGUCAAUGGACGAGAGUCUGAACCAGCCAAGUAGCGUGAAGGAUGACUGCCCUAUGGGUUGUAAACUUCUUUUAUAUGGGACUAAAUUGUGCCACGUGUGGGAUUUUGUAUGUAUCAUAUGAAUAAGGAUCGGCUAACUCCGUGCCAGCAGCCGCGGUAAUACGGAGGAGUCGAGCGUUAUCCGGAUUUAUUGGGUUUAAAGGGAGCGUAGGUGGAUUGUUAAGUCAGUGGUGAAAGUUUGCGGCUCAACCGCAAAAUUGCAGUUGAAACUGGCAGGCUUGAGUACAGUAGAGGUUGGCGGAAUGCGUGGUGUAGCGGUGAAAUGCUUAGAGAUCACGAAGAACUCCGAUUGCGAAGGCAGCUCACUGGACUGCAACUGACACUGAGGCUCGAAAGUGUGGGUAUCAAACAGGAUUAGAUACCCUAGUAGUC
Molecule: ribosomal RNA, 460 nt
Filed under: uncultured bacterium
Lineage: Bacteria
Description: partial 16S ribosomal RNA
Rfam family: Bacterial small subunit ribosomal RNA
Source: RNAcentral